UGCGCUCAUUCUGCGUCCUUCACCGUGUUCCACGGCGCUUAAUUAACCUUCAUAAAUUGGCAUAUUACGGCACUAAAUAGUAUGUCAUUGCCUAUGGUUCCAUACUGUUCUGACAUGCUAUUUAGUACAGUAGUAUGGAUAUUUGGGUAUAGCCCAGGUGUUUAAGGGCGCUAAUGUAGUAGCCAUUAGCUCAAACAAUUAGCCAGAGGAAAAUGACACCUCGUGGGUUUUCUUUUUUUUCCCGUCCCCUCCGUGUUUACCUUUCACAUCCAACGGCAAACAAGCCAUGUGAUGGCCCGUGUGCCCAAAGCGGAGCAUUAUUCCUAAUUAAAAGCCAGGGAUGUGUGCCAUUAGCAAGAUUCAUGCUCGGCUACAGGAGAGUUCAUUCCGGCUGUUGACUAUCCAUUGAUUAUUCAUACGGGUUCUGAUUCGGGCCCAUUAAUGCAAAAUCAAGUGGGAAGUAAAUUUUGUAAGAGCAAAAGCCGCACACUGAUGACGGCCCCACUGAGCACGGCAAAGAGUGUAAAUGGAGCAGUUGCAGGUUUCCAGUUGGUUGGAGCUGGUCUGCAUGAGCACUGUCCUCUGUUCUCUUGUAUGGAGAGGUUUUAUACUUGGCUGUGAAGAGUUUGACACAGGCGCCUCCAAGUGGUAUAUACAGUACAUUACAGCAUGCUGCAGCAGAGACAAGUUCACUUGGGCAUUUACAACUCCAUACCCUAGUAGAAAGACAUUUGUGUUGUAUAUAUGUUUUACAGACAUUCAUUAUAGCAUUUAGCAAAAUAGUGCAUGUUAAUGUAUUACUAAUUAAACAACCCACAAUGAAACUAAUUAAACAUUGUGAUCAAUGGGA
Molecule: long non-coding RNA, 850 nt
Organism: Tachysurus fulvidraco (yellow catfish)
Lineage: Eukaryota; Metazoa; Chordata; Actinopteri; Siluriformes; Bagridae
Exons: 2
Source: RefSeq, a predicted model, not a curated record